Sphaerodactylus townsendi is the source of this 3240-nucleotide RNA transcript. It is a transcript of the gene named hepsin, with no coding region annotated. Lineage: Eukaryota; Metazoa; Chordata; Lepidosauria; Squamata; Sphaerodactylidae. The transcript is spliced from 13 exons. The record is from RefSeq and is a predicted model, not a curated record.
CAAGGCAAGAAAUGACCAGAAGUGGUUUGUCACGGCCUUCCAUUCUGAGUAGCACCUCCUUGCUUGUUUGGCUCCCAUCCGAGGACUAACCACAGCGGAUCCUACUUAGCUUCCAAGAACUGGCAAGACUGAGCUAUCCUGGGACAUCCAGGAUUUUCAAGCUGUUACAAAGGCACCUGUUGCAGGGACCUGGAUUUGUGAAGAGAGAACGCAGGAGGGCGCACUGAUCAUUAACCAGCUCUGAAAUGGCUGAAAAAGAUGGAGCCCUUAAAGCACGGGGGAGCUCUUUGUCCAAAGUUGUGGCUGUGGUAGCCAGCGGCUUCCUACUUCUGGCUGGGAUAGGUGCUGGAAUCUGGGCUAUUGUGAUGUCAGCUCUUGGAAGCGAAGGUGAGAGUCUGUACGUUGUUCAGGUGAGUCCUGGAGACCAGCGCCUUACCCUGUAUGAUGAGAGCGAAAGGAAAUGGAGGCUUCUGUGUUCGUCCCCUGCUGAUGCCAAAAUGGCUGCCUUGGGUUGUGAGGAGAUGGGUUUCAUAAGAUCUCUCUCGCACUCUGUCCUGUCUGCUGACAUCUCAGGGGUAAAUGGGACUUCUGGCUAUUUCUGCGUGGAUGAGUACCGCCUGCCUUUUGCCCGAAGGCUCAACGAGGCCAUUGUUGUGUGUGAGUGCCCAACAGGCCGGUUCCUGGCAACGCUCUGCCAAGAUUGCGGACGCCAAAAGCUACCUGUGGACCGUAUUGUGGGGGGUCAAGAUGCCAGCUUGGGCAAGUGGCCGUGGCAAGUCAGCCUGCGCUACGACGAAACUCAUCUUUGCGGGGGCUCCGUCAUCUCUGACGAGUGGGUUGUUACAGCUGCGCACUGUUUCCCAGAGAGGAAUCGAGUGGUCAGCCGAUGGCGGGUGUUUGCAGGUGCCGUGUCUCAGCUCUCGGCCAAGGGGCUGCAGGUGGGGGUGACGAGUGUUGUGUACCACGGCGGGUAUCAGCCUUUUUUGGAUCCCAACAGCGAGGAGAACAGCAACGACAUUGCUCUUAUGCACUUGGGAACGCCCCUUUCCUUCAGUGAAUAUAUCCAGCCCAUCUGCCUCCCAGCCCUGGGCCAACCAUUGGUGGAUGGCAAGAUUUGUACAGUGACUGGCUGGGGCAACACACAGUACUAUGGUCAACAGUCAGAUGCGCUGCAAGAGGCCAGCGUGCCAAUCAUCAGCAACAGCGUCUGCAAAAGUCCAGACUACUACGGCAGCCAGAUCAGGCCCAAGAUGUUCUGUGCGGGCUUUGCUGCGGGGGGCACAGACGCCUGCCAGGUAGGCGGUGCUUGGCAGCGGGUGGAAGUUCAGAAGUGUGCAGCACACCUGCAGAUGUGUGUGGCAGCCCCACCCAUGUGGUUUUUUGAGAGGGUGACAGUGGUGGGCCCUUUGUGUGUGAGGAUGGCAUCUCACGGACUUCCCGCUGGCGACUCUGCGGCAUCGUGAGCUGGGGCACUGGUUGCGCCCUUGCCAAUAAGCCAGGAGUCUACACCAAGGUCAAUGAUUUCCAGGGCUGGAUCUACCGGGCCAUGAAGACACACUCCGACGCCAGUGGAAUGGUCAUUCAGCACUGAAGCUUAGGAAGUUGCCACCUUGCCAACCUCCUUCCGUCCCAGAGAGACGCUGCUGUGUAUUUUUUUAAAGGGACUUUUUAAUGGAAGAAAAACUGGACAACAUAACCUUGGCUUGGAGCAAUGUUACUAAAAUGGGGUGGUGUGGAUCUCUUGCCAACAGGCACAGCCAUAGUGACAUAGCAGCUCCUGCCCGGCCAACAGGAUGCGUUCUCUGUGGCAGCCUGUCUGAAUGGUGCUUGUAACUCUUUCCUUAUCCGUCCAGAAAAGCAUUUUGACUCGCUGCUUCAGGGCCUCUGUGAUUGGCUAGUGAGCAAACAAUGUGGGCGCAGAUGUUGGCGCAGCCAUGCCAUUUUGGUCUGUGGAAGGCAGGUCAGAGCAAGGGUGCCUGAUCAGGAUGCUUCCUGUUGUGCCUUUUUCUUCUCCACCCAAACAGUCCAGAGCAUCUGCAAAUCAACAAGACAGAUAAAACAUGAGCAAUGAGGCUCUCCCCUGGCUUGCCCAGGUGAACAGAGUUCCCAAACUCCCCCAAUACUGUCUGUGCAUUUUCGUUAUCUCAUUGUGUCAAUGAACCAUCCUGCCUUUGGGGAAGAUCUUAGGAAAAGGGAACAAGUCCUGGAUCGUGAAGGCCAAACUGUACAUUACAACUACACAUGAAUGGUGUGCUGUGUGGUUUCCGGGCUGUAUGGCCGUGUUCCAGCAGCAUUCUCUCCUGAUGUUUCUUCUGCAUCUGUGGCUGCCAUCUUCAGAGGAUCCUCUGAAGAUGCCAGCCACAGAUGCAGGCGAAAUGUCAGAAUGCUGCUAGAACACGGCCAUACAGCCUGGAAACCACACAACACCCCAGUGAUUCCGGCCGUGAAAGCCUUCGACAAUACAUUGUACAUGAAUGGUUGCAUAGAUAUAAAAAGGGGAAAUAAGAUUAAAUUAAAUUAAGAUGUGUACUCUGAUCUUUCUAUUUGCCAGUGCAAAGAGCUCUGCUCUUUCAAAAAUAACAAGAUCAGACAACAACAGCAAAAUCAAUUUCUAAUGAUUAGACAAAUCUGGCCUAUUAGGCAAUAACCUAUUGAUAUAUUUACUCGGAUCACUGUGAAGGCAGCAAACAAGGACAUAAUGCAAUAAAUCUUCAACGGAGCCAGGUCUGCAAAUACAAAGGUAAUGAGGGUCAGGGAUAUGUGGAAAAUGACCAGUUCACUUUGCUGAUGGCACAGCGAGAAAUGUAAAAUAAGUAAAAGUCAUCCUUACUGCUCCAGUUGUUCAGGUCACUAAAUACAGGGUUCUGGAGCGGUCCCUUUUAAAAGAUUUAAACCAAGAGGCUACUUAAGAUUGUUUGAUUAAAUCUCAGUCUAACACAGCAUCAUUAGCAAAAGUGUUCCCAAAGGCAUCGGACCUAAUUUUAGUGUUUGGGAGAAUCAGUUGUGGACCACUAUUUAACUGUUUGCUUUGCGGUGGGGUUUUAUUGAGGAUUUUUUUUGUUUGCACAGAGUUUCUUCUCCUGUGAAGUGUCCCAAGCCAAACCGAUAUGCUACCAUGCCCCCCUUCCCUGCCAUGCUUCCUUGAGAGAGCCAGCAUGGUGUAGUGAUUAAAAGCAGGUGGAUUCUAAUCUGGAGAACCGGGUCUGAUUCCCCACUCCUCCACCUGAGUGGCAGAGGAUU